Molecule: ribosomal RNA, 112 nt
Filed under: Acanthosepion pharaonis
Lineage: Eukaryota; Metazoa; Mollusca; Cephalopoda; Sepiida; Sepiidae
Source: RNAcentral
UAUGGCCACAUCAUGUUCAAACACCACUUCCUGUACAAUAACUGAAGCUAAGCAACAUCGAGCCUGGUCAGUACCUAGAUGGGUGACUGCUUGGGAAUACCAGAUGCUGUAA